CUUUGGUCUAUUUUUUUGUGAUAAUUAUAUAAAUUUGUGUUUCUGUAAUUCUACAUGCUUCCAUUAUUAUUUUCCAAAAUGCACAUUUUUGUGAUAGAUAAAAGAGCAAGCAAAAUGCAUUUAUUUCUUCCAAACAUUAAUUACUGCAAGAUGACUGUGUAAUUAGUGAAAUAGGCAUCUCCUACAGGUUUUAAUUUAGAUUUCACCAAAAAGUGCUUGAUUAAUAAAGAAAUUAUUUUUAAAACCUUCAAUUGAAUUAAUUAAAGAUGAGGAAUAAUUUUCAAUUCAGUUAUCCAAAUAAGCUUAUAUGGAUCCAGAGAGAUUAUUUUUAAAUAGUGUUAUGAUCACUUCUGAAGUAUCUAGUUUACUCUCAUGGUGCUACACAAGCACCAAAGCAGUCAAUACCAUGAAUGAUAAAUAAUAUUGGGAAGAAAAUGUAAGGCAGAUUUUUAAGUUAAUCACUCUUUGUAUAUGUUUCAGUUCUAUUGAUAGAUUAAAUGAUUGCUUCUUUGUUUAUUCCCCAUUAUCUUUGACUUCCUUGUACGUAGGUGCCCUCUGAAUACCAGACAGGAACAUCCUAUUUAUUGUGAUUUCAAGUCAACAGAAAAUUUUAAAAGCUAUAACUUUUCUUUAUAAUUUCCUCUCAUGAGAAAGGGCAGUGGUGCAAGUAAGGAAGCUAGUAUCAGCCAUUCCAAAUUACUAUUUACAAGCAGAUAUGGGAGUUUAGAUCCCCCCCACAAAAGAAGUGUAAAAUGGCAAGAUUAUUGGCAAAAACUAAGAAAAAAAUUUUUCUCAUCUUUUUUGGAUUCCCAUAUCAUACAUUUUAGGCUAGUUAUGAUUUUUUACAUAAGAGUAAUAUAAAAGCCUGCUGACUUUGUUACUUCCCUGUGUAUGUUGACAUUAAAUUUCUUUGAUAUAGCUUAAUUAUCCUGAAAAUCUGUAGCUUUCCGUUUCCUCUUAUCUCCAGGAGACUAUUUUAAACUUCUCUACUUAUAUGAUGUGUACCUGUAGUCCCAUAGAUUGAC
This 1025-nucleotide long non-coding RNA is filed under the name Marmota monax (woodchuck). Lineage: Eukaryota; Metazoa; Chordata; Mammalia; Rodentia; Sciuridae. The record is from RNAcentral.